This is a long non-coding RNA of Leptopilina boulardi, 545 nucleotides long. RefSeq lists it as uncharacterized. The transcript is spliced from 3 exons. Lineage: Eukaryota; Metazoa; Arthropoda; Insecta; Hymenoptera; Figitidae. The record is from RefSeq and is a predicted model, not a curated record.
GGAAAGAGUAUGUUUUUGAAAUUGAAUGUACAGACUGAAUGAUCCUUUAAUAAAAAUCUCAUUGGGUGAUAAAUUGAGAUUGCGUUUAUAUUAUAAAGACUCGUUAACUGUGACAAAAUGAUUCACUACUUGUAUUACACGUUAAUCUGCGAUGUUGAACAUCAUUCAAAAGUUACUUUCGCUGAAAGCAAAACCAUAAACUGAUAUUAUAUACAAGUACACGAGAGUUAAACUUUUUAAAAACGAAAAAUAAAAGAUUUAACAAAUUUACCGGCAAAUGUCUCUCGUUAUAUAUUCGAUACAGCCAAUUGUAUAAUAAUUCUGUGGUAAAUACUAAUUGAGGAGUGAGAAGUAAAACCAUCCAAGCAUAAACUUUAGUAAUUGCACACAUAAUUUUUAAAGUAAGUCGAUCUACGGCAUUCAGAUGGAAAAGGAAACGAUAAAGAAUAAAGUUAAUUUCAUAUGCACGAGAGUUUGUUCCAAGAGAAGAGAAAGGUGACAAUGAACCUGGACAAUAAUAAGCGCGGCCUUGGCAGUGGAAAGAU